CGGACGGGUGAGUAACACGUGAGAAUUUGCCUUUAGGAGGGGGACAACAGCUGGAAACGGUUGCUAAUACCCCAUAUGCUUUCGAGUGAAAUGGAUUUAUCCGCCUAGAGAGAGGCUCGCGGCUGAUUAGCUUGUUGGUAGGGUAAGAGCCUACCAAGGCGACGAUCAGUAUCUGGUUUGAGAGGACGAUCAGACACACUGGAACUGAGACACGGUCCAGACUCCUACGGGAGGCAGCAGUGGGGAAUUUUCCGCAAUGGGCGAAAGCCUGACGGAGCAAUACCGCGUGAGGGAAGACGGCCUAUGGGUUGUAAACCUCUUUUUUCAGGGAGGAAUUUUGACGUGUACCUGAAGAAUAAGCAUCGGCUAACUCCGUGCCAGCAGCCGCGGUAAGACGGAGGAUGCAAGUGUUAUCCGGAAUCACUGGGCGUAAAGCGUCUGUAGGUGGUUAAGCAAGUCAACUGUUAAAUCUUGAGGCUCA
RNAcentral lists this ribosomal RNA (481 nucleotides) under uncultured bacterium. RNAcentral's name for it is "bacterial SSU rRNA". It matches the Rfam family "Bacterial small subunit ribosomal RNA", at positions 99 to 611 of the family's 1533-position model. The record is from RNAcentral.